This 5341-nucleotide long non-coding RNA is filed under the name Ananas comosus (pineapple). RNAcentral's name for it is "long non-coding RNA (ACOM_LNC015007)". The record is from RNAcentral. Lineage: Eukaryota; Viridiplantae; Streptophyta; Magnoliopsida; Poales; Bromeliaceae.
CCAACAGAAAAUUCUAGAUCUUCUGUUUUAAUUCCGAUUUCAGCACAAGUCACCUCUGACUUAUGUUUUACCUCUAUAAAUCUAAUAAAAAUAGUUUCUCACACUAUUUUUAUUUAUUAUUAUUUUUAUACCAAAAUCUGGUAUAUUACAUUCUCCACCCCUUAAAAAGAAUUUCGUCCGCGAAAUUCAAAACACACCUCAAUUCAGCUCCUCGAGCAAUUGAGGGCACCAAUGCACUUUUUCACUUCGGAAUGGCUUUACACUCCUUGGAACUAUCCAAGAGAACUAUCACGGAGGGUACAAUACCAAACUCAUACAACUUUGUAAGGUGCAUCCCACAAAGUGCAUUACGGUAUCCACCAUUCUUGGUGGAAGCGCAAGUCGAAAUUCAACGACUACACACGCUCCAACCCCACUUGUCAUUUGGCAUGCAAGAACUCUUCUUUGCAUGUACUCUCCCUUCAGGGAAUACAUUCCGAUUCUAUCUCCAACAGUGCUUAAAAGCAACAUCACUGAUGCAUCGCUUCCGCGCGAGUGCUCUAAUUCCGCACUGAUCUUUAGCUCUAACAUGAGAUGGCCCACCUCGGCGCCUCCCAAUUCCAAUCCUCAAAUUCCACGUGGCUUGCUACUAGCUCAAGGUCUCACAAGGAGCACUUCAUCUUCUAAUACCAUAUGCCACGGUCAACAUUGAACUAAUUUCGCAACGAGCUCACACGAACGCUUCAUUCGUGGAUUCGAGUUAGACUCCUCGAUAAGGCUAUCCGCCAAACCGCUCUCUUCGGUCUCCACAGGUGGACCAAAGGCCACCAAUCCUACGUAGGCCUACCGCCUAACCUUUCUCAAUACGCAGCGUCUCUCGCUCGCAAUGCAGACCCAAUCAUCAUUGGGGCGAAAUUCUCACUUGGGAAUUCGCACACACUCCAACCAGGAGCAACUAAGAUCCCAAACCGUUACAGAUUCCCGGGUUGGGUCACACUCGCACUCUCAGUAUACUAUCAAUCGCACUACAUGCUCUAUAGCACAAUACGUACCACUAUCGGCUCCUAUGCACCUAGUGCGAGCCACCAGCCCCACGAGUGAUCCGUGGCACGCUUCACACCUAGCAAUGCUCAGGUGCUACUGCCAACACACUCAUCCGGCUAAACUAAAUCCGCACUCCACGAGUAACUAUACUCGUGUAUCGCACGCCUCUAAAGCGCUCCACACUAUGUCCAGCAUUAGGCAACUCUUGCCUAUGCACACCGGCCACACGAGCAUGGCUCACCUACCUCGAUUCGAGGUACUACUAGGCAAAAGCGCCAGUAGUUGGCAACAAACCGUUCCAUCGGAGCAACAUCCGGAAUACUCGAACCAUUCGAGUGUCCACAAGUGUCACGUCACAACUCUCGCAAUCAGCUAUACAUUGCUCUGCGAGUUAGUCCGUCACUCCCAUCUCUACUGUGAAUCUCAUCAUUAGACCAUCACUAGCAACUCGCUAGUGCCAUCCAGUUCUCUACCUGCACCGGCAGGUGCAACGCUUUCACCACAUAAGCGUGCCCGGGUAUUUACAUUUAUCCGCUCACUUGGACCCUACUAUGCUACUACAUAAAUAGUAGUAAUUAAUUACAUGCUCAAUGCAUGCAAUGCACCAACUUUACAUUAUGCAGAAACACAUAACUGCAUUAAUGGCUCAUACCUGCCAUGACGUUGUCAGCAGCAGGUUCCAUAUCCCGGACAUAGUUCACGAUAGGGAGAAUUCCCGUUCGUACUCUCUAACUGAGCGGUCUCCUUGCCGCAGCUUCCUGAACUUGUCCUGAAGCUUUCUCUUUUCACUGUCGGGGGAAGUAAGUAGAAGAUACCAAUCCCCAAAACUCAUCCCAUGCCAUGGAGGAAUACUAGGCGAUCGGUUCCGCCGAAUGCCUUUCCACCACGCCUUAGCCGACUGUUUCAAACAAUACACGGCUAGGGGUACCCUGUCCCGCUCCAAGGUAGACAGCUCCUCGAAGAGCGUUUCCACGGAGUCAAUCCACGUAUCCACAAUCCACGAAUCGACAUUCUCUCCAUCGAAGAUAGGUGGAUCAAACUUUAUGAAGGUCAUGAGGGCUGCCAAAGCCCGCUCUUUCUCCUUCUUUUCCUUUCCUUUCUUCCUCCUCUUCUUGUCUUCUAGAGAGAGAAAGAGAGAUAUGAGAGGGUGUGUGGGUGAGAAAUGAGAGAAAAGAGCUCUCAUACUCCUCACAUAGCCCCACAUGUUGCAUAAGUGCAAACAAGCCUCUCAACUUUUACUCUUUUACACUGCCCUGACUGGGCCAUUUUCAGGUUCGGGGACCGGUCUCCCCGACGAGGGACCGGUCUCCGAGAGCUCUCCCCGCGGUCAGCAGGGCUCACGCACGAUGCAUCCGGUCUCCCCCGAUGGGACCGGUCUCUUCGGGACCGGUCUCUCCCUGCAGGGACCGGUUCCCGAGAGCUGUCCACCGGGGACUUAGCCGAUUUUUCCUCCCUUUCGCUGUCUGCGCGUGCGGGGACCGGUCUCUCCCACCAGGGACCGGUCCCCGAGAGCAGAAAACCUGCAGUUUGCAGAUUUUGAUUCCCAAAGCUCUCGAAGAUCCCCAGCAACGCACUUUUGCAUUAUUUGACGCCUUCGGCCUUUCCGAAGUGUACCAACCUCGCUCUUUGGUCAAUUUGACCAAGGUUCGAUGUUCGCUUACCGAAGUUUCGGUAUAUUACACCUACAAUUUUUUUUCGGAGUCUCUUAAUUCGCUCCUCCUGGUGUAUAGCAGCCUCCUGCUGCCGCUGCACCACAUCUGCUCGUUGCCUCACCACACCCACAAGUGUGGCCAACCGUUCGCGAAGUUCCAAAUCUCCGCUCGCCUUGGAUUGCUCUGGGACAUCACUUGUCCCACCCCGCGUCGAUCUAAACGAAGAUCGCCUACGCGGUGCCAUCGUUACCUAGAACAUAACAACUCAACUAACUCUCAACCUUCUAGGUCGAGUACGAGACAACUGACAUCAACUCAAAUCGGGCGAAAGUCAUACAAGGGCAUCUAUUCUCAUCACUCGGUUUCAUGUUGUACGCGUCCAACAUGAACACUCUCGGUUGAGAAUAGACAACACCUUGGAUCUACCUCUAAUCUCCUUUUUAGAGGUUUACAACACAACCCAAUCCCUUAACCUUUCGCCAAAAGUCACAAGUCCUCGUCUCUCACGAGCCUUAAUCUCCUAUGGUUUACUAUCCUAGGGUCUCCUAGGUUCAUCUAAACCACUUUCCCAUUCUCUACUUUAUGCUCUGAUACCAUCUUACCUGUCACGCCCCGAGCCCGCCUCUUUGGUCGGAUUCGGGCACGCCAACAGACCGCCGAACGGACAGGGUUUCCCCUGCACGCGGACAGAGUCUCCCCUGUACGUUCAAGGCGUCGCAAUCAAUACAAUUACAAGAGGUUCCAAACAGGAACAAUUUUCAACAACGAUUGCAUAAGGAAGGUAUCAAACAACAUAACACAUCCUAUGUUAUUACAAUCAUUCAUCUCAUCAUUUUACAUCGCAUUUUUCAUUACAUUGAUUCUCAACUUCCAAAUAUACAAUCGAUUUCUAAACAUAAUAUUACAACAUCGAUUCUUUUCUUUUCUUUUCUUAUACCCCUAAGAAGCCGACUCAGGGUGCUGCUAUCUGGUCUCUGUGGUAGGGCGCUAACUACGGAGCUACGCCCUUUCCUCGCGCCGCCGCGCCGCUCGCGUGUGAACCUGUACCCCCAAAAACAACAACACGGGGGUGAGACUAUUGUCCAUAGUCGUCAGUGGGUACAGCCACCCAAGUGAAAAGCUCAACCCACCAGGUCCAAAGGAGGCACUGCAACAUGUUAGUCCAACAGAUAUAUAUAUAUAUAACAUCAUGCAAUACAUGUUCAUGCCUCACAAAUAUGCAAAUUAUGCAACUCUUAGUCAUUCUUUACCAUUAGCCUUUCUUUAGAAUAUGCAAUUCUUUAUCAUUAGCCAUUCUUUAUUCUUUAAUCUUUAUUCUUUAUUCUUUAUUCUUUAUGCUUUAUUCUUUAUGCUUUAUUCUUUGUUCUUUAUCCUUUACUAAGGGCACUCGCGCCUUAGGCUCAUCAUACACAUUUGCCAUUCUUUAUAACAUUAACAAGUCUUUCUCAAUUAUCACUCUUUCCUAAGGUUACAUUUACCUUAGCCAACUAUGCCACUCGACUCGGUCUUGAGUCAAUUCAUAAUGAAUACAAGAUCCACUUUCCAAUUCAUGAUUCCUUUUUGUUCUUUGUUCUUUAAUCUCACGGCUAACCCGGGGGUUUCGCCACAUUAACUUGCUUCACAUUAAGUCCAUCAUCGCAGGAACUCACCAGCUAGGACCGUCCUUACGGGUCUACUCCAACCCGGAUGCCAAACUCCGGAGCGCAUCGCCCGAGGGGGAGCGACCGCCCUCGAGCACGGAACUCAUAGCAAGUAUGAUCAAUCCUUAACUCUAAGGAUAUGUAGUUGGAUCAUGGUUUUACACUAACUCUAGUGUUCUUUACAUCACAUUAGUUGCUAACUCUAGCAAUCAUUAUUCUUUAUACCACAAUUAUCAAUUACUUUAGUAAUUAUCAUUCUUGAUACCACACUUGUUCUUUUAUUGCCACACACUAACUCUAGUGUUCUUUAUGUCACAUUGGUUGCUAACUUUAGCCAUUAUCAUUGUUCUUUACACUUUGCUUGUUCUUUAUGCCACAUUACUUUACAUCGCCUCUAGCCAUUAUCAUUAUUCUUUACAUCACAUUGCUUUGCCUUGUCUCAAGCCAUUAUCAUUAGGUUCUCACAUUACAUCUCAUGCAUACACAUAGAUUAUUUAGAUUCUUAAUCAUUCUAAUAAGCACGUGUACUCACAUCAUGCAACAUUACAUUAUUAUCAUCACAUUGUUUUACAUUAUCUUUAGCCAUUAUCAUUGUUCUUUACAUCACAUUUAUUCUUUGAUGUCCCACACUAACUCUAGUGUCCACUUUACCAUUUCGAAUGCCACUCGAUCUAUGUUCAACAUGCAUAUAUUUUGUCAUCCAUUGGUAGUCAUUACUUAGCAUUUUAUGCAUUCGUUAACAUUUACUACAUGCAUUCUCGGUUAGUACAAAUCUCAUACUUUCAUUUGACAUCUAUUUAGCAUUUCUAUAAUAUGCACAUAUAAAUUAACAUCAACUCAUGCAUUCAUUUGGCAUCUAUCUUUAUCAUGCAUUCUUAAUUAGCAUACUUUAUCAUGCAUUCUCAAAUAGCAUACUUUAAUCUUUAUCAUGCAUUCUUAAAUAGCAUACUUUAUCAUGCGUCAAUAGUAAACAUACUACACUUUAGCAUGGAAAGCGACCUAAUCGCUUCGGUGAGCACAACCCAC